CUCACUGCAGCCUCAAACUCCUGGGCAGCUCAGGUGAUCUUCCCGACUCAGCCUUCUGAGUAGUUGGGGAUACAGGUAGAGACAGAGUCUUGCCAUGCUGUCCAGGCUGGAGUGCAGUGGUGUGAUCUCGGCUCACUGCAACCUCCACCUCCCGGGCUCCAGCAAUCCUCCCACCUCAGCCUCCCUAGGAGCUGAGACUACAGUGCACAGCCAGAGAACAACACAUCACACACAGGAAACAGUUGUGCUCAUGUGAUGGGGGCCUCAGCACUAGGAAGGAGUGGACUAUUGGCGCAUGUAGCAGCUUGAAUAAAUCUGAAAGUCACUACACUGCGUAAGAGAAGCCAAAUAAAAAAGUUCAUGCUGUGUACAGAGGGUGUUGAGAAUGCCUCCUACGUGACGGAAAGCAGAUCCGUGGUUCCCUGCAGACCGGCAGGAGCAGAUUCCAAAGGCACAGGAAGAAGCUUGCAGUACAAAGAUAAAAAUCUAAAGUGGUUGCUGUGGAGGACAGGGGUCAGUGGUGGAAGUGAGACUGAAAUGGACUCUGAAGUAAUAUCUGGACUUUGAAAUUGUUUCCUUAACGACAACAAAAAAGGGAGUAAUCCUACCUACUGUAAGAGUCAUGACUCUUGAUUGCAGCUGACAGAAGCUCAUGACAGCCUGGUUUAGAUAAAAGGGGAAAGGACGACUGGAAGAAUCUUGGAGUUGGGAAUAUGGCACAUAAUUGAAGGAAGAGCAAUAAAACUAUAAUUCUUCCCGUGGAGACUGGAGUUUCCAGGAUGUGAAAAUUACCUCUGCUUGGGCAGCUGCUCCCAACCCCAGCAACUUUGCUAUCUUAGAACGGAUCACCAGUGAAAGAGGGGAAGUUGCUACUGUGAUGAAUUCUGCCAUGUGGUACCAGACUGCUGCCCAGACCACAGUGUCCUCUGCAACCCUGGUAACUCACAUACAGGCCUGAUUCCACCUACAGCAAAGCUGGAUGCUAUGGUUGGCAGAGGCAAGCCCCUUGCCUGCACUUCAGGCCAAAGCCGGGAUGUGGCCUAGAUGGUUCCUAAGGUCCCUGACAGUCCUGAGAUCUUUCAUCUUGUCUAUUUCAGGUCAAAGCUUCUCAGAUGACCAAGAUGGUGCUGCCGAUGGUGUUGAGGACGGAGAACCCACC
RNAcentral lists this long non-coding RNA (1159 nucleotides) under Pongo abelii (Sumatran orangutan). RNAcentral describes it as "lincRNA". Lineage: Eukaryota; Metazoa; Chordata; Mammalia; Primates; Hominidae. The record is from RNAcentral.